AACGAACGCUGGCGGCAUGCCUAACACAUGCAAGUCGAACGCGUGUAGCAAUACACGAGUGGCGGACGGGUGAGUAACGCGUGGGAACCUGCCCAAUGGUAGGGAAUAACUGCGGGAAACUGCAGCUAAUACCCUAUGCUCCCGUACGGGGGAAAGAUUUAUCGCCAUUGGAGGGGCCCGCGUCGGAUUAGCUAGUUGGCGGGGUAACGGCCCACCAAGGCUACGAUCCGUAGCUGGUCUGAGAGGAUGAUCAGCCACACUGGGACUGAGAUACGGCCCAGACUCCUACGGGAGGCAGCAGUGGGAAAUCUUGCGCAAUGGGCGAAAGCCUGACGCAGCGACGCCGCGUGAGGGAUGACGGCCU
This 364-nucleotide ribosomal RNA is filed under the name uncultured bacterium. RNAcentral's name for it is "bacterial SSU rRNA". It matches the Rfam family "Bacterial small subunit ribosomal RNA", at positions 29 to 417 of the family's 1533-position model. The record is from RNAcentral.